GAGUACGUGAAACUGUGUGGUGGUAAACGGAGGGGUUCUCGAAGUUUCUGUGGGGAACUCAGCCUUGGUGUCGCGUGGCCCUGUCGUAUCUGAUCAGCAAUGACAGUGCGGCUUGGCCGACGUGUCUCUCGGGUGCAUUUCCCCCGCAGUUUACGGCAGGAACUGUUUGGAGCGCACCGAAGGCCUCGGGUGAAGUUGUUGGUUCUGCUGGCAGCCCUGGGUGUCCUGGCUUCGCACCAGACAGGUACGUGAGAGGACUCGUAUAGCGAGCAAUGCUCUGUUGCGGUUCUCAUCUCUCUGCCGAGUAGGUCGGUGGCCCCUCCGACCCGUCUUGAAACACGGA
This 343-nucleotide ribosomal RNA is filed under the name Calanus pacificus. Its description in RNAcentral is "partial 28S ribosomal RNA". Lineage: Eukaryota; Metazoa; Arthropoda; Copepoda; Calanoida; Calanidae. The record is from RNAcentral.